RNAcentral lists this unclassified non-coding RNA (288 nucleotides) under fungal sp. Its description in RNAcentral is "partial contains 5.8S ribosomal RNA, internal transcribed spacer 2, and large subunit ribosomal RNA". The record is from RNAcentral. Lineage: Eukaryota; Fungi.
CGCACAUUGCGCCCAUUGGUAUUCCGAUGGGCAUGUCUGUUUGAGCGUCAUUACAACACCUCAACUCGAAGCCUUUUCGGUCGAGAGUUGGUGCUGAGCUCGGCUUUGGUGCGCGCGAGCAAACCGGCCGGCUUUAAAAUUUUGAAGCUCUGCAGCCUGCAGCCCUGAAUGAACAUAGUAGAAUAUCUUUUUGACCUGUUCGAUUUUGGUGCGCUGUCAGGCCUGCCUGAACACAAACCCCCCAUAAGGUUUGACCUCAGAUCAGACAAGGAUACCCGCUGAACUUAA